AUCACUUGGACCUAUUGUCAAAAUGCAGAUUUUUACUCAGAUAUCUGGAGUUGGGUCUGAGAUUCUGUAUUUCAAACAAGUUCCCAGGU
This 89-nucleotide microRNA precursor is filed under the name Sorex araneus (European shrew). RNAcentral describes it as "miRNA (ENSSARG00000018789.1)". The record is from RNAcentral. Lineage: Eukaryota; Metazoa; Chordata; Mammalia; Eulipotyphla; Soricidae.